AACGAACGCUGGCGGCAUGCCUAAUACAUGCCAGUCGAACGAGAUCUUCGGAUCUAGUGGCGCACGGGUGCGUAACGCGUGGGAAUCUGCCCUUGGGUUCGGAAUAACUUCUGGAAACGGAAGCUAAUACCGGAUGAUGACGUAAGUCCAAAGAUUUAUCGCCCAAGGAUGAGCCCGCGUAGGAUUAGCUAGUUGGUGGGGUAAAGGCCCACCAAGGCGACGAUCCUUAGCUGGUCUGAGAGGAUGAUCAGCCACACUGGGACUGAGACACGGCCCAGACUCCUACGGGAGGCAGCAGUAGGGAAUAUUGGACAAUGGGGGAAACCCUGAUCCAGCAAUGCCGCGUGAGUGAUGAAGGCCUUAGGGUUGUAAAGCUCUUUUACCCGGGAUGAUAAUGACAGUACCGGGAGAAUAAGCUCCGGCUAACUCCGUG
RNAcentral lists this ribosomal RNA (433 nucleotides) under uncultured bacterium. RNAcentral describes it as "partial 16S ribosomal RNA". It matches the Rfam family "Bacterial small subunit ribosomal RNA", at positions 29 to 507 of the family's 1533-position model. The record is from RNAcentral.